This 385-nucleotide long non-coding RNA is filed under the name Zea mays. Its description in RNAcentral is "long non-coding RNA (ZMAY_LNC004611)". The record is from RNAcentral. Lineage: Eukaryota; Viridiplantae; Streptophyta; Magnoliopsida; Poales; Poaceae.
GUUAUGAUUUUGAUGUGCAUAUUCAUUUUGGUGCUGGUGCGUACAUCUGUGGUGAAGAGACCGCCCUACUAGAGAGCCUUGAAGGGAAGCAGGGCAAACCUAGGCUGAAGCCACCUUUCCCAGCCAAUGCUGGGCUCUACGGCUGCCCCACAACUGUGACUAAUGUAGAAACUGUGGCUGUAUCCCCAACAAUUCUUAGGCGCGGUCCAGAAUGGUUUGCAAGCUUUGGGCGCAAGAACAACUCUGGAACCAAGCUCUAUUGCAUCUCAGGGCAUGUGAACAAACCUUGCACCGUGGAAGAGGAAAUGAGCAUACCUCUGAAGGAGUUGCUCGAGAGGCACUGUGGAGGUGUGAGAGGGGGAUGGGACAACCUGCUUGCGGUAAU